Molecule: ribosomal RNA, 215 nt
Filed under: Campeiostachys nutans
Lineage: Eukaryota; Viridiplantae; Streptophyta; Magnoliopsida; Poales; Poaceae
Description: Elymus nutans partial small subunit ribosomal RNA
Rfam family: Eukaryotic small subunit ribosomal RNA (bases 37-215)
Source: RNAcentral
GGAUCAAUUUAUUGGUCGUGCUAUUGUGCGUACUGGUAUUAUUGAUUUCUACCUUCUGACGAACCAUGAUGUCAUUAAUUUGGUGUCAUGGGGAAUCAGGACUGUUACUUUGAAAAAAUUAGAGUGUUUAAAGCAGGCUAACGCCUGAAUACAUUAGCAUGGAAUAAUGAAAUAGGACGUUCGAUCCUAUUUUGUUGGUUUCUAGGAUUGACGUA